Molecule: non-coding RNA, 3795 nt
Organism: Cricetulus griseus (Chinese hamster)
Lineage: Eukaryota; Metazoa; Chordata; Mammalia; Rodentia; Cricetidae
Source: RefSeq, a predicted model, not a curated record
GGCAGACCUGUAGCCAGCCCCUAAGCAGGCAUGGCUACAGGUUCCCCUACACAUAUCGAUCUUGAUGGAGUUAAAAACAGGACACAAAGUUGGACUCCAACCUCUCCCAACCAGCCACCCACUACCAGUUCUCCAAGAAAGCAACUCCCACAGAGUGAUUGAUGGCUUGGAAAGAGUUUGCCAAGGCUAUGAUGGACAGGGAACACCUCACAAUGAGCGUUAUUGACAGUGGUAUCUCCAGCAGCCACAUGUGGAAAUAGGUUUGGGCUUUCUUCAUACAACUGGGCCACACCAAGAAACUUUCAACUCUAUCUCUGAGAGCUGACACAGAAGACUGUGUCUUCUCCUGUCACCUCUUCAAUUAGUUCCAAUCACCCUUAUUCCAGUGAUUAAGAGGAAGGAUAUGUCUACUUACCCUAUAUUCUCUAAAUCUGAACCUGAAAUACAUACUUCAAAUCCUAGUGUCAAACAAAACUUGUGUGGAAGUUGCAAAUUGCACUUAAAAUCAAUAAUAAGUUGUCAAGUAAGCUAACUGUCUAGAUUCUAAGAAUAUUGAUGUUUGUUUGAAUUUUGGUAUGAUCUUCAAAACUGUAUAUUAAAGUUUAUACUCCAGCCUGGGCCACAGUGAAUCUCUGGCUAUUUUGGAUUAUAUGGCUUCUCUGCAAGAACUUGCCUCAAAAAAUCUAUAUUAAAAAACAUAAAGGAAAAAAAGUAACCAAAACUGCUUCCUAACCUGUUAUGAAUAAUAGAGCAUAUGUUCAACCAAGGAAACUGGAAGAAAACAAACUAACAAAACAAAACAGAAAAAACACUUGCACUUGCUAAGAUUUCAUAUUACAAAUCCAGUAUUUUCCAUCACACUGAUUUGGUGCAAUCAGUCUAGUUCUUAACUUCCAAAUUUCCUUGUCUGCAAUUAAACUCCAGAGGGAUAGAAAAAUUCCAUUGGCUUUUUCUGUAAUUCUUGCUUGACCCAUAUAUUAUGUUCAAGCAUAGGAUCUGCUGAGAAGCUUAUAAAAAUUUUUGAAAAGCUCUUUAGGGACAAUUUUGUCACCUUUGAUUGAACUACCUAUAGAUACACACACAGCUGCCUCUAGAGACCUACCUGCUGCCUGACUGUGCUUUGUGCAGUGGAAGCAGCACCAUGAAUAGGUCUGGGUGCAUUGGAACUCACAAGAUCUGCCUACCUCUGAGUGCCAAAUGCAUCUGAGGAUCAAAAGCAUCUGGCACUAUGUCUGGGAAGGAGUAGUAUUUUAAGUAUGUUCAGAAUAUUCUGGGAAGACAAGGAAAAGAAGAUUGCACUCUGAUGACAGUCUUUAAACUGAGCUGGAAAACAUACACUCAGUGCUGUGCUUAAGCUAUCUGCUUCCUUAGCCAACUAGAAAUCUAAGGAGGCCCUUGGUGGUUUGCCUCUCUGUUGCCUCAGGCAUUCAUUGCCCUCACAUAUCUGGUGUGCGUGAGUGGAGCACAUUAGAUGUCUUGAACUUUCUGAGAAUAAACAAAAAUGUUAGAGGAGAAUGAAAGGCAUAAUUUUGAUUUAUAGAAGAUAUGCAAAUCUGUGUAUUUCAGGAAAAUUCUAAUUUUAGAUAAAUUAGUUUUAGAUGUGACUUUGAAUUAAUUUGGAGCAAAAAUUUAAAGCAAUACUAGUUUAAUUCCUAUCAUGGGCAGUGACUGUUAGUUGCGUGGAAACUUCAGAUGUUGGGGUCAAGAUAGCCAUAGUUAUCAGCUUUCUCUUUCCUUACUACAGCUGUGACAUCAAAAUUAGCUGCAUAUCCAAUCAGGGACUAAGGGGAUCUACCUUCAUCUUUGCAAAAAUCUGAGAAGACUGUCAAACUAGACCAGGCAAGGGAUGGGAGGGAGUUUAGGACUAGUGAAAGUAGUGCCUACUCUUCCAUCCCCAUCAAUCAUUUAUGUUGCCAUGUGAGCUCUGUUUUUAUUCUGUAAAAGCUUUUCCUUCUGGCUCAGGUUGGUUCCAGUGUGAAACUUUGUUAUGCUCCCAAAUGUUUCUGUCAUCAGAGAUCUAACUAGCUUGUAUCUGUGACCACAUCCUACUGAAAGGAAUUAAAUGAGAAAAAAAUGAAAACAAAACCGACACGAUCAUUUUAUGCUGCAUCAUAUAACAAUGGCUCAGAACCCAAUAGUUUAUGAAUGAAAUAAAGAUACUUUAUUUAUUACACAGGCACUUGGAGAUUCACAUGCCCAAACACAGCUGAUACACUUAACAGCUAAGGAAACACACACAGGUGUCUGCUUGUAGGCUCAGGAGAGGACUUCCUCUGUGCCAUGGUGAAUGAGUGCAUUAACAAUUUUUCCUUUGCUUUCCUCUAAGUAUUUCCAAGAGUUACACGUCAAAUAAUAUGCAACAAAAACUUAUCUACAUUCCAACUGGUAUGCUAACUUGAAUUGUGAGCAAUGUAAACUUUUAUCACAAUGCAACAUAUUUUAUAGUCAUGCUUGAACAGAUUAGGUUAGUAGCAUGCAUUCCAUUCUGCAAUAUGAAUACUGUUAAACUAUUUUCCAGCAAAACUCAAAAGACGCCCAGUGCAUAGAAAAAUACAAAUCACUGUAGUCAAUAUAUUAUGAGACUGAUUUGGGACUUACAUGGUGAUGAUGAAAUCCUAAAAUGCCAUGCCCACAAAAGCACAUUAAAAAGGGGAUAAACAUAUUGCAUUAGACAAACCCUAAAGAUUAAGGAUGAGAGCUUUAAAUUUCGGGGGACGUUCUUGCUGUGUGCUUUGAACAGGGCCUUUUCUGCUCACCUCCUUCUGGCUUGACUGGUCCAUCAGACAUCACUUUCCUGAGGGCUAGCUGGCUUUGGUCUUGGUUGCCAUUGGCUGGUGGAGGCAGAUUAUCAGACUGAGUUCUUUGAAUGGGGAGGACGCCUGCUAUGCUGUGUCUGUGCUGCUUCCUGGCAUGGUUACACUGACCGCUUUUAUGUGCUGCUGUGGCAGUGUGGGUGAAAUGGAAACCCAGAGUGUAUCCUCAGAUGGAACCAGCUUCAAUGUUAUUCAUGCAAACAGAAGUGGGCUUUUUUGUUCUGGUGAAACUGUGUUUUCCAAUGCCAAAAUGACACCACAUGCACAGCACUGAAGGGAAUUAAAACUGGCUGUUUCCUUGGAAAUGAUGACCAGAGAGAUGAGGAAAACAACAAGCUGCACCCCCCCCCCUGGAUGAUGCUUCUUGGAGGUGACAGCACCUCUAUAGCCAUGAAACAUCUGCGCUUAGGUUUUUAUAGAAUCAUCUCAGAAAGUAUCACAAGUGAAAACCCAUCAGUUAAGAUGAGGGAAUGGCUAGACUUUACUGGCCUAACAAUUUCUUGACUUUUAAAACAGUCCACUGUUUAGAGAAAAAUAAUCUGUAAAUUCUGUUAUUCUGUACAAAACAUGAUCCAAUAGAAUGGACCAGAUUGUGCCCCUCAAUGAGAUUAUAUUGCCUCAUCACAUAAGCUUAAAUGCAUAUGAAAAAUGCGUAUUUUUGAGAAUACAAACUUCUGCAGAUUCUUCAGGAGAUCGAGGUACACAUGUUAGCUCCUUUUCUCACACAUCCUGUUUUUAAACUUUGCUUCAAAUGGCUUUUUACCCCAGGUUCUAGAAUUUGACUAUUGUCAAAACUAAGUAUCUACUUAAAUGUUAGUGUUUUUACGUCCAAGAAUCUCAUUGUUAACCUGACUUACAUAUGUGUGUGUGUGUGUGUGUGUACCCAUGCCUGCUUUUGUGAGGGAUAAUGCUCGAAAACUGGCAGUCCCUUGCGCUUGUAGUUCCUAUAUUCUAAAGGAGAAGGAAGUUCACAUAAAGACAC